GGCCUAUUGGCUCAGUUGGUUAGAGCGCCGCCCUGUCACGGCGGAGGUCGAGGGUUCGAGUCCCUCAUAGGUCG
RNAcentral lists this transfer RNA (74 nucleotides) under Lachnospiraceae bacterium. Its description in RNAcentral is "tRNA-Asp". It matches the Rfam family "tRNA". Rfam says of the family: Transfer RNA (tRNA) molecules are approximately 80 nucleotides in length. Their secondary structure includes four short double-helical elements and three loops (D, anti-codon, and T loops). Further hydrogen bonds mediate the characteristic L-shaped molecular structure. tRNAs have two regions of fundamental functional importance: the anti-codon, which is responsible for specific mRNA codon recognition, and the 3' end, to which the tRNAs corresponding amino acid is attached (by aminoacyl-tRNA synthetases). tRNAs cope with the degeneracy of the genetic code in two manners: having more than one tRNA (with a specific anti-codon) for a particular amino acid; and 'wobble' base-pairing, i.e. permitting non-standard base-pairing at the 3rd anti-codon position. The record is from RNAcentral. Lineage: Bacteria; Bacillati; Bacillota; Clostridia; Lachnospirales; Lachnospiraceae.